GACAGAGGGUGCAAGCGUUGUUCGGAAUUACUGGGCGUAAAGCGUGUGUAGGCGGCUUUGCAAGUCGGAUGUGAAAGCCCCGGGCUCAACCCGGGAAGUGCACUCGAUACUGCAGAGCUUGAGUGUCGGAGAGGUUGGUGGAAUUCUCGGUGUAGAGGUGAAAUUCGUAGAUAUCGAGAGGAACACCGGUGGCGAAGGCGGCCUUCUGGACAGUGACUGACGCUGAGACGCGAAAGCGUGGGGAGCAAACAGG
This 253-nucleotide ribosomal RNA is filed under the name uncultured bacterium. RNAcentral describes it as "partial 16S ribosomal RNA". It matches the Rfam family "Bacterial small subunit ribosomal RNA", at positions 524 to 776 of the family's 1533-position model. The record is from RNAcentral.